CCCCGCCAUCUCCCUCUUCCUCUCUCCCUCUCCCUCUCCCUCUCCCUCUCUCUAUCAAAAAGCUAAACUACUCAGCGUCCAAUUAAGAUGCCGCAGCAGGUUCUGCCUGACUUCUCCAACUCAGUGAAGCUCAAGUAUGUGAAACUUGGGUACCAGUACCUCGUCAAUCACAUCCUCACCUUCCUUCUGGUUCCCAUCAUGGCAGCCGUCGCCGUUGAGCUCCUCCGCUUGGGCCCCGACGAGCUCCUCACCAUCUGGAGAUCUCUCCACUUCGAUCACCUCCAAGUCCUCUGCUCCUCCUUCCUCGUCAUCUUCAUCUCCACUUUCUACUUCAUGUCCAAGCCUCGCUCCAUCUACCUCGUCGACUACGCCUGCUUCAAGCCCUCCUUCACCUUCCGCGUCCCUUUCGCCACUUUCAUGGAACACACCCGCCUCAUCUACGAGAACGACCCCAAUAGCGUCGAGUUCCAAAUGCGUAUCCUCGAACGCUCUGGCCUCGGCGAGGAAACCUGCCUUCCUCCCGCCAAUCACUACAUCCCGCCAAACCCUAACAUGGAAGCAGCCAGAGAAGAAGCCGAGCUCGUCAUCUUCUCCGCCAUUGAUGAUUUGAUGAAGAGGACCGGUAUUAAACCCAAAGACAUCGAUAUUCUCAUCCUCAACUGCAGCCUCUUCUCGCCUACUCCUUCGCUGUCUGCAAUGAUAGUUAACAAAUACAAGAUGAGGAGCAACAUAAAGAGCUUCAACCUCUCCGGCAUGGGGUGCAGCGCCGGCAUUAUCUCCAUUGAUCUGGCCAGAGACCUUCUCCAGGUUCACCCCAAUUCAUACGCGCUGGUUGUCAGCACCGAGAUCAUUACGCCAAACUACUACAGAGGGACUCAGCGGUCUAUGCUUCUCCCCAACUGCUUGUUCCGGAUGGGUGCUGCCGCGAUUCUCCUGUCGAACCGCAGGAAAGACCGUAUCCGAGCCAAGUACCGGCUCGUCCACGUCGUUCGGACCCAUAAAGGCGAUGACGAUAAGGCCUACCGGUGCGUGUACGAGGAAGAAGACCAGCAAGGGAAGGUCGGAAUCUCGUUGUCGAAAGAUCUCAUGAGGAUCGCCGGCGAAGCGCUGAAGUCUAACAUAACCACCAUCGGACCACUGGUGCUUCCGGCGUCGGAGCAGCUUCUCUUCUUGUUCACGCUCAUAGGGCGUAAGAUCAUAAACCAUAAGUGGAAACCCUACAUUCCCGACUUCAAACAAGCCUUUGAGCACUUCUGCAUCCAUGCUGGGGGGCGAGCUGUGAUCGACGAACUGCAGAAAAACCUGCAGCUCUCGGCGGAGCACGUGGAGGCCUCCAGAAUGACUCUGCACCGAUUCGGGAACACUUCUUCUUCGUCGCUGUGGUAUGAGUUGAACUAUAUUGAGACCAAAGGGAGGAUGAAGAAGGGAGAUAGGGUUUGGCAGAUAGCUUUUGGGAGUGGAUUCAAGUGCAACAGUGCGGUGUGGAAGUGCAAUCGCAACUUAAAAGUUCCGUGCGAUGGGCCUUGGGUUGACUGCAUUGAUAGGGCAUUGAUGGUUCUAGAGUGGAGAAAGUUUUGGAAUCAGUUCAUAUUGCUGCCAAUAAGAAAAUUGUUCCUGGGGAUGUGUCUACAAUGGUUCCUGGUGGCAUCCGAAUGGGAACCCCAGCUCUCACAUCCACGGGAUUCAUUAAGGAGGAUUUUGCAGAAGUAGCCAAAUUUUUUGAUGCUGCAGUGAAAUUGGCUGUGAAGAUCAAGACCGAUACAAAAGGAACAAAGUUGAAGGAUUUGUGGCAAACAUGCAGUCAGAUGUCCAUAUUCAAUCCAAUAUUGCAAAGCUUCGGCAUGAUGUUGAGGAGUAUGCUAAGCAAUUUCCAACAAUUGGUUUUGAGAAGGAGACAAUUUCCAACAUAUAUUGAGGAAUCCUCAAUUCU
Malania oleifera is the source of this 1930-nucleotide RNA transcript. It is a transcript of the gene named 3-ketoacyl-CoA synthase 6-like, with no coding region annotated. Lineage: Eukaryota; Viridiplantae; Streptophyta; Magnoliopsida; Santalales; Ximeniaceae. The record is from RefSeq and is a predicted model, not a curated record. The transcript is spliced from 4 exons.